Molecule: transfer RNA, 74 nt
Filed under: Chitinispirillales bacterium
Lineage: Bacteria; Pseudomonadati; Fibrobacterota; Chitinispirillia; Chitinispirillales
Description: tRNA-Pro
Rfam family: tRNA
About the family: Transfer RNA (tRNA) molecules are approximately 80 nucleotides in length.
Source: RNAcentral
CGGAGUGUAGCCCAGCCUGGUAGGGCACUUGAAUGGGGUUCAAGUGGUCGGGGGUUCAAAUCCCUCCACUCCGA